RNAcentral lists this ribosomal RNA (492 nucleotides) under uncultured bacterium. RNAcentral's name for it is "partial 16S ribosomal RNA". It matches the Rfam family "Bacterial small subunit ribosomal RNA", at positions 29 to 507 of the family's 1533-position model. The record is from RNAcentral.
AGUGAACGCUGGCGGUAGGCCUAACACAUGCAAGUCGAACGGCAGCACAGUAAGAGCUUGCUCUUACGGGUGGCGAGUGGCGGACGGGUGAGGAAUACAUCGGAAUCUACUUUUUCGUGGGGGAUAACGUAGGGAAACUUACGCUAAUACCGCAUACGACCUACGGGUGAAAGCAGGGGAUCUUCGGACCCUGCGCGAUUGAAUGAGCCGAUGUCGGAUUAGCUAGUUGGCGGGGUAAAGGCCCACCAAGGCGACGAUCCGUAGCUGGUCUGAGAGGAUGAUCAGCCACACUGGAACUGAGACACGGUCCAGACUCCUACGGGAGGCAGCAGUGGGGAAUAUUGGACAAUGGGCGCAAGCCUGAUCCAGCCAUACCGCGUGGGUGAAGAAGGCCUUCGGGUUGUAAAGCCCUUUUGUUGGGAAAGAAAAGCAGCAGGUUAAUACCCCGCCGUUCUGACGGUACCCAAAGAAUAAGCACCGGCUAACUUCGUG